ACGGCGUGUGCGUUGGUCAUUGCGCUACGCACAAAGAAGAUGCGCUGCUUGAUUUCACUUUGUGCGUGUGACAGUGACAAUGCACGCACGUCACUGCUUC
RNAcentral lists this microRNA precursor (100 nucleotides) under Capitella teleta. Its description in RNAcentral is "microRNA cte-mir-210a precursor". Its record names the gene cte-mir-210a. Lineage: Eukaryota; Metazoa; Annelida; Polychaeta; Capitellidae. The record is from miRBase by way of RNAcentral.